UACGUAGGGGGCGAGCGUUGUCCGGAUUCAUUGGGCGUAAAGCGCGCGCAGGCGGCUCCGAGAGCCCGGCGUGAAAGCCCCCGGCUCAACCGGGGGAGGUCGUCGGGGACCUCGGGGCUGGAGGCCGGCAGGGGCGAGCGGAAUUCCCGGUGUAGUGGUGGAAUGCGUAGAGAUCGGGAGGAACACCAGUGGCGAAGGCGGCUCGCUGGGCCGGUCCUGACGCUCAGGCGCGAAAGCGUGGGGAGCAAACAGG
This 253-nucleotide ribosomal RNA is filed under the name uncultured bacterium. RNAcentral's name for it is "partial 16S ribosomal RNA". It matches the Rfam family "Bacterial small subunit ribosomal RNA", at positions 524 to 776 of the family's 1533-position model. The record is from RNAcentral.